This 492-nucleotide ribosomal RNA is filed under the name uncultured bacterium. Its description in RNAcentral is "partial 16S ribosomal RNA". It matches the Rfam family "Bacterial small subunit ribosomal RNA", at positions 29 to 507 of the family's 1533-position model. The record is from RNAcentral.
AGUGAACGCUGGCGGUAGGCCUAACACAUGCAAGUCGAACGGCGGCACAGUAAGAGCUUGCUCUUACGAGUGGCGAGGGGCGGACGGGUGAGGAAUACAGCGGAAGCUACUGUUUCGGGGGGGAUAACGUAGGGAAACUUAUGCUAAUACCUCAUACGACCUACGAGUGAAAGCAGGGGAGCUUCGGACCUUGCGCGAUUGAAUGGACCGAUGUCGGAUUAGUUAGUUGGCAGGUGAAAGACCGACCAAGGCGACGAUCCGUAGCUGGUCUGAGAGGUGGAUCAGCCACACUGGACCGGGGACCCGGCCAAGCCUCCUCGGGAAGGAAGCAGUGGGGAACAUUGGACAAUGGGCGCAAGCCUGCUCCAGCACUCCCGCGUGGGGGAGGAAGGCUUCCGGGUUGUAAAGUCUUUUUGUUGGGAAAGAAAAUCGUCAGGUUAAUACCCCGCUGUUCUGACGGUACCCACCCAAUAAGCACCGGCUAACUUCGUG